Molecule: long non-coding RNA, 1086 nt
Organism: Oncorhynchus tshawytscha (Chinook salmon)
Lineage: Eukaryota; Metazoa; Chordata; Actinopteri; Salmoniformes; Salmonidae
Source: Ensembl
CUUGGCUCUUACAUCCUCCUCUGGACCUGAGCCCUAGGACCAUGCCUCAGGACUACCUGACAUGAUGACUCCUUGCUGUCCCCAGUCCACCUGGCCGUGCUGCUGCUCCAGUUUCAACUGUUCUGCCUGUGAUUAUUAUUAUUUGAUCAUGCUGGUCAUUUAUGAACAUUUGAACAUCUUGGCCAUGUUCUGUUAUAAUCUCCACCCGGCACAGCCAAAAGAGGACUGGUCACCCCACAUAGCCUGGUACCUCUCUAGGUUUCUUCCUAGGUUUUGGCCUUUCUAGGGAGUUUUUCCUAGCCACCGUGCUUCUACACCUGCAUUGCUUGGUGUUUGGUGUUUUAGGCUGGGUUUCUGUACAGCACUUUGAGAUAUCAGCUGACGUACGAAAGGCUAUAUAAAUACAUUUGAUUUUGAUUUGAUUUGAAAUAUGCAUGAUAAAAUCCAUAAAAUAUGAUUCCAGAUACAACAGUGCAGCAUGAUGCUAUUACGUUAAGUGAACCGGUAAAGCCAGAAAGACACAUGCUAAGCUCGUGAACCUACCCCAUAUUGAAUGAUGAUAAUCAAUAAAGUCUUGGCAGAUCGCUAUUAUACUGAAUGUCCAAACAUAACAAACCAUUGUCCUGUGAUGUCAGUCUUUAUUUUCUCUCGUGAGUCAUUUAAGUGUAAACAUCCAUGAGGGUAUUGGUGUCCUUGUGGGAUAGUAUACAUAUAUAGAUAGUAAAUAUAGAUAUAAUAUUAUUUCACACAAACACAAAGUAUACCUUUAAAUCAUAUAUGUGUUAAAAAUGUGGAAAUUGUCUUAAAUACCAAUUUGUGAGUAAUAUUCCAUGAACCUCCUUGAUGUAUGUGUGUUCACUCAAGUCCUGUGUUGAUAGGAAACAGAUUGGAGCAUCAUAAAUGGACAAUCUAAGAAAUGAGCCCAAUUAGUUUUCAACAAUUGUUUCCAGAAGUAUAAGAGGUCUUUGUUUCAUUUUUAAUAUUUCAAUGUUCAUGAGAAAGGAGCCUAUUUGUGAGCAGCAGGAAUUUAUCUAUGAAAAUGAUGAAAAGGGCAACAAUAAACAGUAUGUCAUUUCCAGUUUCAAA